AUUGAACGCUGGCGGCAUGCCUUACACAUGCAAGUCGAACGGUAACAGGUUAAGCUGACGAGUGGCGAACGGGUGAGUAAUGUAUCGGAACGUGCCCAGUCGUGGGGGAUAACUGCUCGAAAGAGCAGCUAAUACCGCAUACGACCUGAGGGUGAAAGCGGGGGAUCGCAAGACCUCGCGCGAUUGGAGCGGCCGAUAUCAGAUUAGGUAGUUGGUGGGGUAAAGGCCUACCAAGCCUACGAUCUGUAGCUGGUCUGAGAGGACGACCAGCCACACUGGGACUGAGACACGGCCCAGACUCCUACGGGAGGCAGCAGUGGGGAAUUUUGGACAAUGGACGCAAGUCUGAUCCAGCCAUGCCGCGUGCGGGAAGAAGGCCUUCGGGUUGUAAACCGCUUUUGUCAGGGAAGAAAAGGUUCUGGUUAAUACCUGGGACUCAUGACGGUACCUGAAGAAUAAGCACCGGCUAACUACGUGCCAGCCGCCGCAGUAA
Molecule: ribosomal RNA, 493 nt
Filed under: uncultured bacterium
Lineage: Bacteria
Description: partial 16S ribosomal RNA
Rfam family: Bacterial small subunit ribosomal RNA
Source: RNAcentral